GGAGUUUGGACCGUGUCUCAGUUCCAAUGUGGGGGACCUUCCUCUCAGAACCCCUACUGAUCGUCGACUAGGUGGGCCGUUACCCCGCCUACUAUCUAAUCAGACGCAUCCUCAUCCAUCGCCGAUAAAUCUUUACUCACAAAAAGAUGUCUUCAUGUGAGACCAUCAGGUAUUAAUCUUUCUUUCGAAAGGCUAUCCCUGAGCCAUGGGUAGAUUGGAUACGUGUUACGCACCCGUGCGCCGGUCGCCAGCAUCAAAAGCAAGCUUUCGAUCUGCUGCCCCUCGACUUGCAUGUGUUAAGCCUGUAGCUAGCGUUCAUCCUGAGCCAUGAUCAAAACUCU
RNAcentral lists this ribosomal RNA (341 nucleotides) under uncultured Bacteroidales bacterium. RNAcentral describes it as "partial 16S ribosomal RNA". The record is from RNAcentral. Lineage: Bacteria; Pseudomonadati; Bacteroidota; Bacteroidia; Bacteroidales.